GAAACCGGAGCUAAUACCGGAUAAUAUAUUGAACCGCAUGGUUCAAUAGUGAAAGACGGUUUUGCUGUCACUUAUAGAUGGAUCCGCGCCGCAUUAGCUAGUUGGUAAGGUAACGGCUUACCAAGGCAACGAUGCGUAGCCAACCUGAGAGGGUGAUCGGCCACACUGGAACUGAGACACGGUCCAG
RNAcentral lists this ribosomal RNA (187 nucleotides) under uncultured Staphylococcus sp. RNAcentral's name for it is "partial 16S ribosomal RNA". It matches the Rfam family "Bacterial small subunit ribosomal RNA", at positions 153 to 334 of the family's 1533-position model. The record is from RNAcentral. Lineage: Bacteria; Bacillati; Bacillota; Bacilli; Caryophanales; Staphylococcaceae.